Brassica napus (rape) is the source of this 107-nucleotide non-coding RNA. The record is from Rfam. NCBI's taxonomy places the organism in Eukaryota, Viridiplantae, Streptophyta, Magnoliopsida, Brassicales, Brassicaceae.
AAACCGUGAUGUGGGCACUCCCUGCGGUAGAUGUUGAAUCGCUCCGAUGCGUCGCAGAACGGCUCAUCUACCAGCUGUUUAAAGGUGGCGAUCUUCUGUCUCAGAGC